CCUGAGAAACCCAAAAGAUCGAAUGGGGAGAUUCAUCGUCAGCGAUUUUGGCACGUGUGCGGUUCGCGAUGCCGGAGACUUCGGUCUCCAGGCACGCGUCCGCAUGUUUUUCAUUGCCUUAAACGUCGGCGUGCACUUCUCCCCUAGUAGGACGUCGCGACCCGUUGGGUGUCGGUCUACGGCCCGGGCGGUAGCCUGUCUCGUGUACGCUUCGCGGCGUUACGCGGUUCAGACCCCCGGUUGCCUGACCGGCUGCUCGGCGGUACGCGCACGGUAUCUGGCCGCAAAUAUUCGAACUGCGUCCGGCCCGUCGCAAGCGAGGCAAGUGUUUCCCGGCUGUACGGAUCUAACGCCGUCACCGGGCCUUGCCAGCUGUUGGUUGACGGUGUCCUAGGACAGGCCAAUGCAAUUAUGAUACCGGUCGGCGACGCUACUGCUUUGGGUACUUUCAGGACCCGUCUUGAAACACGGACCAAGGAGUCUAACAUGUGCGCGAGUCAUUGGGUAUUAUUAAGCCUAAAGGCGCAAUGAAAGUGAAGGUCGAGCCUUGCGCCGACCGAGGGAGGAUGGGCCGCGUCACGAUGCGGUCCCGCACUCCCGGGGCGUCUCGUUCUCAUUGCGAGAAGAGGCGCACCCAGAGCGUACACG
RNAcentral lists this ribosomal RNA (648 nucleotides) under Chrysocryptus sp. NL402. RNAcentral's name for it is "eukaryotic LSU rRNA". It matches the Rfam family "Eukaryotic large subunit ribosomal RNA", at positions 420 to 808 of the family's 3401-position model. Lineage: Eukaryota; Metazoa; Arthropoda; Insecta; Hymenoptera; Ichneumonidae. The record is from RNAcentral.